UACGGGGGGUGCGAGCGUUGUCCGGAAUCACUGGGCGUAAAGGGCGCGUAGGUGGUUUGAUAAGGGUGUGGUGAAAGUCCGGGGCUCAACCCCGGAUCUGCCGUGCCGACUGUCAAACUCGAGGGCUGUAGAGGCAGACGGAAUUCCGGGUGUAGCGGUGGAAUGCGUAGAGAUCCGGAGGAAGACCGGUGGCGAAGGCGGGUCUCUGGGCAGUAACUGACGCUGGAGGCAGCGAAAGCGUGGGGAGCGAACAGG
Molecule: ribosomal RNA, 255 nt
Filed under: uncultured bacterium
Lineage: Bacteria
Description: partial 16S ribosomal RNA
Rfam family: Bacterial small subunit ribosomal RNA
Source: RNAcentral